ACGACCUUACUUGAACAGGAUCUGUUCUAUAGGCUCGUACCUCUGUAUCCUUUAGCACAAAGGAGACAGGAUCUCAAGUCUGGUGGAUGAACUAUGGCCUUGUGAUCAGAGCGUGAUUAACAGCCUCUCUGGUCCAUGAUGACCGGUUGAAGUCGUAGAGGAUCGUUCUUGGCUGGCCUUGACCAGCUGGGAUGGUCACAAGGUUGUCUGACAGACU
RNAcentral lists this small nucleolar RNA (217 nucleotides) under Theobroma cacao (cacao). Its description in RNAcentral is "snoRNA Plant_U3". It matches the Rfam family "Plant small nucleolar RNA U3". Rfam says of the family: Small nucleolar RNAs (snoRNAs) are involved in the processing and modification of rRNA in the nucleolus. There are two main classes of snoRNAs: the box C/D class, and the box H/ACA class. The record is from Rfam by way of RNAcentral. Lineage: Eukaryota; Viridiplantae; Streptophyta; Magnoliopsida; Malvales; Malvaceae.